GCUGACCCUUGGCAUCCCUGUGUCCGAGAGGCAUCCCUCCCGUCUCUGUCUGCUCAUGGCCCCUCCCCCGCGUGUCUUUCUCUUUUCUCCUAAGGACAAAGGUCCCUGGAUCCAUGUGCACCCUAAUGACCUCCUCUGAACUUGAUGGCAUCUGCUGGGCCCCUGUUUCGAAAUAAGGUCGCACUCACAGGUACUGGGGGAUGGAUGAGGACAUCAGCAUGUCUUUUGAAGAUUGCCCAACUCGGCCCAUCACGGCCAGGAGCGCACCGGUGUGGACCGGCCGAGGAGCUGUCUGGCUUCCAGGGCUCUCGACUGGCACUCAGUCCAAGACAGACCGCCCGCCCGAUGAUGUCAGGGGAAGAAGAAAUGAGCGCCACAUCAAAGGGCUCUCAACUCGGCCCAGUGAUUGCACCUCCACGCUCAAGAGAGGCCCUUCCAAAGCGUCCUCACCCUGAUGUCAGGCGGAGGGCCCCUGGACACCGGUUCAAGGCCCCCCAGGGGGUCUGGCAGGUCAGAUGAACCCCGAGAGUCAGGCGGACCCUCUCAUGGUACCUCGACUUCUAAGUCAGGUGCUAUCUCAGUGGUCAGAGAGACGAGGCCUGGCCAAGCCUGCCUUCCUGUGACGUCAGGAAGAGGCCCUCCACGGUGGCACUGACCGAGGUCUCAUUCAGGAGCGAUCCUCAGGGUCCCACUUCUUCAGACAGCGACUGCCUUCUUUGGGUUCCUCCAGAAGCGGACGCAGAGGUGAGGACUCAAAUGCCCGUGGUUGGUACGGCUCACCUUGACCAAUGGUGUCCCCAAGCCCACCAGAGCCUGGGCCUGCCUGGACCCUUCUGCACCCAAACCCCAAUGCAGCUUGGUGAUCUUCUACCAAGCUACAGGCUCAGCCAUGCCCCUAACAGAGCCCCCUUAUGGAAUGAAGGACUGAAACCCCACUCCUGGGAUCCCUCCCUGCAGGGCUGUCCAC
Molecule: long non-coding RNA, 967 nt
Filed under: Marmota monax (woodchuck)
Lineage: Eukaryota; Metazoa; Chordata; Mammalia; Rodentia; Sciuridae
Source: RNAcentral